RNAcentral lists this ribosomal RNA (403 nucleotides) under Verrucomicrobiota bacterium. RNAcentral's name for it is "Verrucomicrobia bacterium partial 16S ribosomal RNA". It matches the Rfam family "Bacterial small subunit ribosomal RNA", at positions 355 to 776 of the family's 1533-position model. The record is from RNAcentral. Lineage: Bacteria; Pseudomonadati; Verrucomicrobiota.
UGGGGAAUAUUGCACAAUGGGCGCAAGCCUGAUGCAGCAACGCCGCGUGAACGAUGAAGGUCUUCGGAUCGUAAAGUUCUGUUGCAGGGGAAGAUAAUGACGGUACCCUGUGAGGAAGCCUCGGCUAACUACGUGCCAGCAGCCGCGGUACUACGUAGGGGGCUAGCGUUAUCCGGAUUUACUGGGCGUAAAGGGUGCGUAGGUGGUCCUUCAAGUCGAUGGGUAAAGGCUACGGCUCAACCGUAGUAAGCCGCCGAAACUGGAGGACGUGAGUGCAGGAGAGGAAAGUGGAAGUCCCAGUGGAGCGGUGAAAUGCGUAGAUAAUGAGAGGAACACCAGUGGCGAAGGCGGCUUUCUGGACUGCAACUGACACUGAGGAACGAAAGCGUGGGUAGCAAACAGG